RNAcentral lists this ribosomal RNA (460 nucleotides) under uncultured bacterium. RNAcentral's name for it is "partial 16S ribosomal RNA". It matches the Rfam family "Bacterial small subunit ribosomal RNA", at positions 338 to 795 of the family's 1533-position model. The record is from RNAcentral.
CCUACGGGGGGCAGCAGUGAGGAAUAUUGGUCAAUGGACGAGAGUCUGAACCAGCCAAGUAGCGUGAAGGAUGACUGCCCUAUGGGUUGUAAACUUCUUUUAUAUGGGAAUAAAACGUUCCACGUGUGGGAUUUUGUAUGUACCAUAUGAAUAAGGAUCGGCUAACACCGUGCCAGCAGCCGCGGUAAUACGGAGGAUCCGAGCGUUAUCCGGAUUUAUUGGGUUUAAAGGGAGCGUAGGUGGAUUGUUAAGUCAGUUGUGAAAGUGUGGGGCUCAACCGUAAAAUUGCAGUUGAAACUGGCAGUCUUGAGUACAGUAGAGGUGGGCGGAAUUCGUGGUGUAGCGGUGAAAUGCUUAGAUAUCACGAAGAACACCGAUUGCGAAGGCAGUUCACUGGACUGCAACUGACACUGAGGCUCGAAAGUGUGGGUAUCAAACAGGAUUAGAUACCCGAGUAGUC